Molecule: non-coding RNA, 12875 nt
Organism: Anas platyrhynchos (mallard)
Lineage: Eukaryota; Metazoa; Chordata; Aves; Anseriformes; Anatidae
Source: RefSeq, a predicted model, not a curated record
UUUAUGUACUGCAGAAGGAACUUAGACCCUUAGCUCUGGGGUUGGAUUCCAUUUUUGGCCAGACACCAGAUACCAGGAGUCUAUUUGCAAUAGACUACUGAGAAAAUGUGACUCUGGAAACAGGAGAAAAACAUUUGAAUUCUGAAGCUUUCUUGAAAUCCAGCAAUGCAGGGUCUCUUGCAAAUGCUCAUUACCAGUCUUUUCUUUAAUAGCUAAAAAAGUGUUUUGUGAAUAAGAUUAAUACACAGAACAGGUGAAGCCACCUGUGCAUGAAUCCCUUCUCCUGCCACUUCUGACUUUUGGGAGGUCGUGUCUGUGAAUAUUUUGCUAGUUCUCAAAAGGAAGAAUGCUUCUUCAUUGCAAUCACAUUUCUAGGGGAAUAUAGCAAUGGAAGGGGCAAAUUACGGGUUGUUCUCUUGUUGCUUUUCCAUGCAGACUCUGCUGUACAUGCCGUUGUGAAAUCCACGGAUGAUGGGAAGGAAGCCACCGUGCAGCGUCCCUAGGAGCAUCAACAAGCAGUGUGGUGCAGGGCACCUGUAUGCACAGGGUAGAUACACUGCUGACCGGUUCCUGCCUGUGCCAGCGUCCAGAGCCUCCCCAUCCUGCUUUUAUUUGCGCUCUCUUCAAGCUGCCCCUGUAGUCUGUUCGUGCAGCUGGAACAGAUUCUUGCAAAGCAUUCAGCAGCCCUGAGGGGUGGAACAACUCGGCAGGAUAUCUGCAUUGCAACCGGAAUAUUGUUCCUGCUGGGAGAGGACCUGAGGGAGUAUUUUUACUUUUCAGCAGCUCCUGCUGUGCCUCGGCGUGCACAGUCCACCUGGACUAACACCUUCAGCACUUCUCCUCUCUGCCUGGCAGACUGGCGCGGCGGUGUGACAAGCCUUGUAGUUCAUCACGGAGCCGUGGGGAAAUUGAGUCACACAGAGGUGACGUUCUGUAGGUCACCUGGUAAGCAGGGUGGAAGAGGUGAGAAGGAGAAGCUGGCUGGCUGAGCUCAGGCUGGGAGAUCCGUACUCUGAUUGCUGCUACCUCUUACUGAAAAUCUGAGGAAAAAUCCAUGAUGAAGCUUGGAAAAGUCUGCUGGUGCUAGAUGGGAGAGAAUGGGCAGGAUGUAUGUGAAGUAUCAUUCAAUGUCCAUAUGGAGAGUGAUUUUGGGCCAGGAAGUGGAGAAGACCAGAGCAAGUAUAUAGCACAUUAUCCUUGAUGGGGGAGAGUUGACAAAGAAAACACUCAUCUUUCCAAAAAUGAUUUCAUCUGCUGUAAUUGUUUAUAGGAGGACAGGUCUGGAACAAAACCUGAGUGCCACUUUGGAAGACCCUAACGCCUCCUCAGUAAUCAGCAGCUGAGGCAGCCUGAACGUCUCCUGUUGCAGUUAAUUUGUCCUUAAAAACUCCUUCAGAAAGCAGACGAUGGCUGGAGCUUCUGUUCUCUUAAACAUGACCCAUUACAUCAGACCCCACUGACAUACGGCUCUAAUGAGCCAAGCUGCAGAUAGUCUGAGGUGUUGCCAUCCAUACCUGUCCUGCCUUUUCCAGAGGUGACUUUCCUUCAGCAGAAUUGGCAAAGAGAUCAAUACCUACUAAGGUCCAACAGGUUAAGUUGCACUGCUGUGGAAGUUAGUUUAAAACUUGUGGUUACGAUUUAACCUAGGCUACAGGAAUGUUUCUUAUUUUCAGAUAACUCCAGGGCAUUGCAAGUUGCAGUCUAGACAGCCUGAAAACUCUGUCCCACCUAAGGGGGAAAAGGUAGGCUCCCUUUUAGUAAACAGCUACAACAAAACUAUGUUAAAAUAUCCAGGUGUCUGUUGCUGGCCUGCACAACAGUCGUGAAUCAGGAUUCCAAAACCUAUAAAGCUGGCUUAAAUGUUCAUUUUCAAAUUCAAUUUGCUACUUCAUCAUCUGGUUUUGGUUUCCAUUUUUUCUCUUUCACAACCAUAAUUGAUAAAAAAACACAGUAGCCCUGUGAUGCUCCCAUUAUCCUGACUUCAGAAUCCAAAUAUUUAAUAGUAGUAUUCAUGUUUUAAAAGUCAUAGAGUGAAAAUUAUUACAGUUGGUUCAUGGAUGAUUGUCCCCUUUUUAAAUACGCUGUGGUAUUAGGGGUACAGUUCUACAGUUUUCUUUUUAUGAAAGCUAUAGGAUUGACCAAAAGGAAAAAAAAAUCAAAACAAAACAAACAAACAAACAAAAAAAAACUAAUACUGUCAGCAAACAGCCAGGAAACAGUAGGCCAGUGGAGAGCUCUAAUGCCUUUGCGCCCUUUGUGAAUCUCCUUCAAAAAUGUGUAAAACAGGAUGGGGACGCAUUACUCUGUGGCUAAAUUCAGAAUUAGUAUGAUUGAGGUGCAAUGCCAUUCAAAUCAAGACAAAUGAAUCCUACUCAUUGCAGUAUGAGUUUUGUCCUGUGGCUUGAGGUCUUCAUGGAAAUCUAACCAUUUGUCUAUUGCCCUUAUUGCUUAGAGGAGGCAGCCAGCAUUUCCAUGAAAUUAUUUUAAUGUAGAAUUAUUAAAACAUUUUGCAGCUACAGAGAUAGAUGGGUUUUACAUAAAAUCUCUGCUCUUUGUAGCAACCCGAUGUGAUAUUGAGCAAGAUAAUGGUCAGAAAGAACACUGCCAGGCUCCUAAUGAGAAACUGUUGACAGUAAAAUUACCCCAACAUUCAUCAAAAAGCCAAUAAAUGUCAAGCAUAGGGCCUUUGAUGCAGUAGCUCAUAAUUCCUGUUCAGAAGCCUUUGCAGGCUUUUCAGGGCACGUGACCGUCCUGCAUUUCUGCUGAUUUUACUGAAACCUUUGUUGCUGAAGAAGUACAAGGAGCAGCUGUUCACGUUCUGGAUGCCAUUGUUACAGUGCCCCUGGCUUACUGUGGGAUCUCAAACAGAGCAGGUUUGGCCUCAGUUUCCCCAUCUGGAAUAUGGGAAUCACCAUACAGGAAUCACCCACAGACAAUUCUGUACAGGACACGGUGUUGCCAUCCAAAUGCUCAGAAAUCAUGAGCUGGACCACAAAAAUUAUGAUGCCAGCUUUUGCCAAUGAGUCAGUCAUCCAGGUUUUCGUGCUGUUGUAGUACACAUUCUCAAGCUCUCUCCUCCACGGAAACAGAAGGUUUUAUCAAACCAAUUCUCAGUCAGUUGAAUUCUAGGCUGGGCUGCCUUGAGAAAACCACGCGAAGCUCAUACAAAAUGCCCAAAUGAGACCAUCUCCCAUUCUGUUCUUUGGCUCUGUUGAACAUGAAAAUCAUAAACACCUUGUCCAACUCCUGAGUCCUCUGUCCAACUGCAUCUUCACCAUACAUCCCCAAAACGAGGUGAUGAGGGACAAUAUUGACUAGUCCAUGAAUUAGGAACAACCUUGUGCUGUGGUUAUUCUACCUAUCUCUGCACCCUGGCUUGUCCGUCUUGUUCACGAGGGGAUCACAUCCUCCAGAUUUUGCUUGAGUAUCUUUUCUAAAAUUUCCACCUAAAGACUGAAAGGACUUUUUAUAAGGCCUCUGCUUCACUGACACUUUGAGGUCAGUGUCUGAGUGGUUCAUUACGUUCAUCCAGGCAAUUCAUCGCUUGCAUUUGCUCUACAUUUCCAUACUAGCUGCUCCCAGAAAACCUGUACCUUUCUGUCAUUUGCAGGGAUGAGCUGCAUCCCAGCGGCUCUGUGCAGAUGGAGGCAUACUUAGUUUACAGAGAAGCCUGAGUGCAUGCCACAUGCUAUUAGGGUCACUUGAAACUAGGCUAAUUACCUGGCAGACCACUGCAGAGCAGACUCUUUAAUAAAAAAGAGUGGGUGACAAGGGCUAGACUCCUUGCUAUUUUAGGACAGACGCUCCCUCAGGCAGCAGAUAGCCACAGCGGUAAGUCUCCCAAUCUAUCAUUUGGUUUGUUGUUUCUUGGCUAUGGAACAUAAUUAACAAUUCUGGAACCGUUCUGUUUCCCAGGACUGGCCUGUAAAUCUGUUAAAUUAAACAGUAAAGGCAGAUGUGGGGAAAAAAAAAAAAUUACACACAAGUCAGAAAUGAAAAAUGAUGUUGCUUUGUCAAUCCAUAGGGGCCAGUGCAGGAAUAUUCUAAAGCCUUCUGAAGCUCUUCUCUGUCUAGCAGUUCAAGCAAGAGGGAAAUAUUCCUGCCAUUUUUGGAAUUGAUGAUCGCUAAUUACAUAAUUACUUUAUUGCACAAAAUAGUACAAACAAAUACUGUGGAAGCUGAGUUAAAAUGCACUAAUAAAUAUUUUUCCCUUAAAGGUCAGGAAGAUACAACACAGCCAUUUGUUGUAUCUCAUAAUAUGCCAGUGAAUUAGACUGGAAAAGACCACGACCCUACAAAAGCGGUGUUCUUAAGGACCUGACCUCAGCCAUCUACAGCUCUGUGCUUCCUGAACGUCCAUGGAUUUGACUUGUGGAGGAACUUGAGGCAUUGUUUUUUUUUUACAUGGAAAAUAAGGAAUUAUGACCUCUCUUUCUUCACACCUGGCUCAGGCAGUCCUCCUGGGAAAGAAGCAGCUGUGUGGAUGAGGCAGCUAGCAAACAAACUCAUCUGCCAUGGGAUGCUGACAAGCCUGAGGACUGAGCAGCACUGUUCAAGGAGAUGCAGGGUGCCCCAGUCAUGAUUCCCUUGUCUUCCUUCCUUAUCACUUCUUCUCAUCACGUAUCCUUUCCUAAAAGCUAGUGGAAGGUAUUAGUAAUUCAAAUGUUUUCUGCACAAGUGAAUCUUCAUUGUUUGUGCUCCAUUUUCUGUCAGAGCCAUAGGUACUCUAAAAUGAAAUAAAUAUAUGUCCAGCAGAAGUUCUCUGUAAAUGUAGAUCUAUGUUUCUGCUUCCUCAUCUCCCCGUUGAUGGGCUUUGUGGCCCUACUGUAGUAGAAAUAGUGGUAUGUACAUUUUAUAAAUGUUGAAGGACAGUGGUAUGUACAUUUUAUAAAUGUUGAGGACUCUGAGAGCUAGGUCUGGACUUGACUUUCCCCAGUUGCCUAAUUACGUUUUGAUAUGGUUCGUGCUUCAUGAUCAUUCGCUGAAAAGUUCUUCCAAAUAUUACUUUUAAUAUAUGAUAGGAAUCUGUGGAAAAAAUUGCUCAUCUAGAAGAACACCAGAUCAUUCUAAAUUGAUCACAGCAGUUCUCAGAAUCCUUGCUUGGCAUGGCAAAGGCCAGCACACAGUGAACAUGACGUGUUCCAGCUCUGGGAGGAGUUCACAUUCCCCUGCAACACUGGCCAGCAACUUCUUUCAAUCCCUAUGUCUUCAAAGUUGGUAUUACGAGGCAGUGUCCUGUUAGGCUCUGGCAUUAAACAAAGCUCCCGGUGUCAUUACUGCUGCGAAGCUCAGAGCUUUUUCCCUGUCACUGUGUGGCAGCACUGCUCCACAUAACGCAUGCUGCCUAUUUCCCUUCAGCUUCAAGACCAGGUGCCUUCCAAUUAUGAGAUUCUUAAGAUGUGAACAAGGAUCAUCAUUAUGAAAUAACAUUGGAUGCUAUGAGAGACGAUAUAAAGAAGGCAUUCAUUCCUGUCCUGUGAUAGUACCUUUGUGCAUGGCUUCUGUGCUAUGAUUCUUGACACAUUCAGCCCUUGGAACCUGGGCACCUCAAGAGCUUUCACGGAGAUGAACAGCAUAUAUUUGGACACCUGAGAUAAUCAGCUUAUAACCAUUAAGAGGACAAAUGAUCCUGAUCUAUUUCUACAAAGGCAGAUCCUGUUCUGGCUUCUGAGCAGCUGAGUAGGAGAGCACAUAAAAUGAGGAUUCCCUAACUGUGAUCAGAGAGCUCCAUGCUGCAACGUUAGAUCAAGAUGUCCCCAAACUACUGGAACUGGGCUACAAACAGCUUUGGAAAUCAUCUAUAGUGUCAUAGUGAACUGGAAUGUGAGUCCUGUGGUGGAGUAUGAAAUCGAGGUCUGAAUUUUGCAGCUUGAGGCAUUUUCUGGAAUCAGAGAAAAAUGUGCAGAGAAAUCUAAUGUUAUCCCACCUAAGUGGACAAUAUAGAAACUUAAGCUCAUAAAUCAAACUCAAAAUGAGAAAGGAAACUGUUUGUUGAAUCCAGCUUUGUUGUAACUCAGAAUAAUGGAAAUAUAGCUGGUCUAGAAGCUUUUAUGAACUUUCUAUGACCACAGCUUUGAGGAGUCUCACUGAACAGGGUGGGAAGUUGGGUGGUGCUGAGUAAGAUAGCCUCCAUUCCAAAAUCCAAGUGACAAACUAAGCAUGGUACAGUUCUGAAUUUGACCAUGCAUAGUCCAGGAGCGUUGUUGAUGAUAUGAUGGGGAAGCGCAGCACCUGAACUUCUCAUGAGAUCAUUUGAAGCACUUCAUGCACAAGGUGAGUGAGACUACAAGGUUUUCUAGGUCUCCUUUCAAGCAUAUUUGGUGUACUUGUGAAUAACAGAGAUUUAAUACAUAAUUUGAGACCUGAUUCAGUGUGGAUCCUAAGAUGGUGCAAUUCCAGUGAAAUUACAUCUCCUUACCUUACACCAAAAGUUCAUUUAAUUCAUUUGUGUGCUGUUGUCACAGGAAAAUGAAGAAACAGUCGAAACAGUCUCUAGUGAUUAUGAGUUUCCCUACAGCCCUUGCUCUAAAGUGCAUGUUGUCCUCUAAAUGUACAAACUACUUAGCAAGAGAAAUUCGCUGUCUGUCCCAUGAACAGAGACUAAUCUUCAGCGUCAGUGCUGCUCCAGCCAAAACCUUGCAGACCGAUGUCAUGUUUGGUUUGAUUUUUUCAUACAGAUCUUUUGAUCGUCAGCUUUUUCUAAUAAGCUGUGGCUUAUAAUAAGAGACAAAGGCGAGCUUCACAUUAAUGACAUGGCAGGUAAAGUUCUUACAAUUUAUUUUUAGUCCCCCAAACCAUCCUAGUCCUCAGAUUUAGAUCCUUUAAAGCAACUGUUGCUCAACACAUGAUCUUUUCUUUCAUGUUGCUUCAUUUAUACAUGAUCAUACAAUUUCUGCCUGAACUAGAGCAUAUCAUAAAGCUGUGUCAUAUUCUUUUAAUUUUUAUACCGAAGGGUUUCAAAUGGAACCUAACAUAAUUAGAUUACGUCUAAUCUCUUCCCAUUUUGAUCCCAUUCUCAAGAGUGUUUGCAAAGAAGCUUACUUGAGUCUUAAAUGCACAACUUUAAAUCGUGCUGACGGUGAUAAGGGAAGCACACUCUUACGAAAACAUACUGACGUGUAGGACAAGACCUCAUGACUUUAUGAAAUGAAAUGGCUAUCUCCAUUGGCAGUGUCUGUUUAGAGAAGCUUUAAAAUCCUUGAUAAGUUUUUUUUAAACUUCUGCACAAAACCUGUAACAAGUUGAUUCAGAGCCCUUCCCUGUUCAGUUCUCCCCUGAAUCCCCACUAACCCUUAUUAAUAUCUGCUUGUCACAGGGGUCCCAAGGAGAUGGCAUAGCUUCUACUAAGGUGUCAGCCUUCAAGAUAAAGUGCAGUUUAGAAGUAUUUUCAAAGAGCUAUCACCUUCCUGGUAGUAUAUUAAAAGAGAUUAUGCGUUGCCAGAGACAGCAAGCCUUGUCAGGUCAGGGCAAAACAACAUUUUAAGCCGAUUGGCUCAUAUAUCUCAAGGUAUGUGUGUCCUUGCACAAAUUCACUUUCCCCUCAGCCCAGUAUUUAAGAAAAUCCACUUUUAAUGAUGUUGAUUGAUCCGAAGAAUGGUCAUAUUGAACCCCACAUAUUAUUUUGAGGUUAGGGAAGGAGAAAAAAAUCCAAGUGGGAUAGUAAAUUAUUGGAUUAUAAGAAAUCUUUGAGGAAAAAAAGCAUUAUCUUUGGUGUCUGGUUCCUCAUCUUUCCUAAAACUCUGCUUUGCAUGAUAAUUUUGUGACGGGAUAAUGCUUGUUUACACUCCAUGGGUAUUUGCCAAACAUUUGGGAAGAUUUGAGCUGCUUUACAGCCUAAAGCUGGCUUUGUUUGCCAGAGCUGAGGAGUGCCUUUAGUAAUGAUGGUCUCCCCCUCUAAAGGGUCCUGUGGCUUCUUUACGGGAUGAAAUUGGGCAACUGGUUCCUAGUAAGACCUGGUGUAAACACCAGCCCCAGCAGGAUCUGUAAGUGCAUUUCCUUCAUCAGCCAGGAAUCUGAAUUACCCAACAGUCCCCAGAUUUGGGCAGUCUUACUGCCAACCAUGUGAUGGCCCUACCUCUGGAAAUGAGCUCAGUUGCUUACGGGUGGGAAACAUCCUGCAAGAGCUCAGCCAGACAGCAGUCAGCCUGUUUUGUUCUACUGUUGCCAUAUGGGCUUGGUCUGGGAAAAGAUAAAUGGAUAAGAAUUCCAUUUUCCCUGGCAAGCUAUUUCUCCUGUUAGAACUUUGUAGGUAAGCUUCACGCUGCUUUAACCUGAACAGGAGACCAACUGAACACGGAGUAGCUCAAGGCAACGGUGGAAGAAUGUGCUUCAAAGCCUAACCUGCAUCCCUCACUUCAUGCUGUGCUAUAUAAAUUCCAUAUUACAUGCAGCCUGGGAAAAGACUGCAAAUACCAUGCUGCUGGGAAAAAAAAUAAAAAUUAAAAAAAAAUCUUUUAUAAAGAGCUUUACCUGAACAAACUGAAAAUAUUUCUUUUCCAUCAGUAAUUUACACUUCUUUGUCUGCUAGUUUCAGCAGCAAAUGGAAAAGGUCAUAAAGAUUUAACUUUUGCACUACCUUAGACAAGCAAUUACACCUUUGUCAGGAUCCACUAUUACAGCUUAGAGCAUCUUCACAUUUUAUGACAUGCUCCUGUUUUCAUUUGCUUGUAACUUGAUGAAAAUGUAUCUCUUUGAAGAUUUUGAAUUUGUUGGUAUCUAAUAAGUUAUACUAUUUCUGUUAACUUUGGGUUACUUCUGACAUUUUGGCGGUUUACAGGUGAAUGAUAAUAAGUUUUACUCGAAUAGUGACUGUGGUCUGAAAACUGUCUAUAAAAGUGUCAUGAGAUUGCAGGUUCCUUAUUGUAACUCUAUGUCAGAUCUUCAGGGUUUACAAAAACAUUAUCUUCCAAUCAUUGUCUUCCAACUGCUGUCCUGGAAAACCACACUAAGGCACACACAAAAAAAAUUGAGCUAAUGUUUUGUUCUGUUGUGCAUUGUUGCCAAUAGCAGUUAAUCUUCUGUCUUAUUUGUUUCUUUUCCUUCUCCAUUCUGACUGUAUUCUACGUUUCCUUGGUUUGAAAGGUAAAUGAUUUGAUUAUAGAUUUUCUUCUCUUUAAUCUGAUCUCUUCUCCUGCAGGAUAAGGCUCAAAUCUGGCUAGAAAAACACCCCAAAUUCAUGUUUCAAACACUCCAGUUUUCAUACAACCACACACAUCUUCCUCAGCCAGGUUUUCUAAUUUUUGUAUUUUCUAUUGUGACGGUUUUCAAUUCAUUGAAAAACUGCUUGGUAUUAACGAGACAUUUUAAAAUGUAGUGCAUCGAGGUAUUAUGCUUUGUUCUGUGUGUAGUUUUCAUAGUUAACAAAAGAAGGCUGGAAGCUAAAUCAACAUUUAAAAGAAGAGAGAAAGAAAUGAGACAAUUAUUGAAGUAACAGAAGGAAUAAGACAGAAGGAGGCUAAUGGAAAAAGCCAAUAAAAGGCUAGAGGAGACAGAAAAUUGGGGGGAAAUAAAGGAAGGAGAUGAAGAAAAUCUGUCCUGACAGACAGAGGGGAUGGAAAUAGCCCCUUGUGAGCAGUGACAGAAAGCACUGUGUACUUUCCAACCUGAUUCACAUGGCAGGAGCCACCAGCAGCAGGAAGAGAGACUCGAAUCGAUGAAAUCCUCAAAAUCAGAGCUGGGAGACAAUAGGACUGGGUGAGGGCAAGUGAACAAUCAGAGCCAAAAGGAAUGGAAAACAGUAUUUUAGGCAGCCAGAAGAAUUACAGCUAAGGGCUAACCCCCCUGCUUAGAAUCAGAACUUCCACUCCUGAUUUAAUACGCCUCUUUCUCAGGAUUUUCAGUACAAGAUGGUGAGCUGAUGCUGCCACGCAUGGACAGACAAACCUCUGCCUCGUGCGUCAUUGCUGCAGAGCGGGCUGGUGCUAAGCUCCUGUAAACAUCUACGACAAGAUCAAGCAAGUGAUGGACCGAAAGUAACACCUGCAGCACAGACACCAAAACUUUCAUUUGGGGGAAAACAAACAAAAGCAAAAGCAGCAGGUGGCAUAACAGCUGAGUACGUUUAAUCUUAUAAAAUAUUGAUGCACUUUACUGCAUGAUACUGGGAAGAAUAGCCAUCUGGCACCUAUUGUUCAUAGGCCUAUAAGCACUUCAUAUCAAAUCAGAUAUUUUGAGUGAUAGCCUUUGUAAUGAUGAGAGUAGGUUUUAAAAAGUGACGAGCCUCAAAGGUUGAACAGGGAACUGUUUGAAUUUGAGACUAACAGACAGGUUUGGGUUUGUUUGGAUACCUGCAGGAGCUUCUGAGCCACUCACUCUCUGGGGUACGUGGCUGUGCAUAAAUGGUUUAUAUUUUGACUGACACAGAAAAAAUAUCAACUCAUGCCUUAAAAAUGAUCUGUAGGCAGGAGUGGAAAUGCCAUAUGCUACGGAAAAUAUGUUGAGUUCCUGCACCACAGAAGCUAAGCCAAACCUAUACAGCACAAACACAAAUUGAAUAGGAACAGUCCCACACCAGGUUUUAACAUUAAUUUAGGACCAACCUACUACCUGCUGUCUUUUGAGUCUGCAAAAUACCUAAUUUUGUAAAGUAAAAGCCAUUCUCUUCAGGGCAGCACUUGUGUCCUUAUAUGAACGUGUAACUUUAGCCCAAAGGUGUUUAAGGACAGGCCGCUAUAGCAAAGUACUAUGCUCCAAAACUUUCAUGGACUUUUAGACUUCAGUUGCCAAUUCAAAGCCUACGUCUUUAUUUUCAAAGCCAUCAGCAUUCUGAACACUUGGUCUGUCGGGGAUUAAAGCUCCAUCAAUGAAUUGUCGAGGCAGUUGACAGCAAAAGAUGUAGUGCUAUCUGGAGUCUGAUCGCUACCCAGACACACUGCGAGAACUUAGUUUCUCACCUGAAGUGGCACCAAUACGCGCGCUGCCUGCAGAGCCGAGCAUGUUCUGACGACUUGUGAAGCCCAGGAAGGAAUUUGGAUGGGUCAUCAAAUUCAUUCCCUUGUCCCAAGGCAAGAUUUGAAUCUCACCAGGCUGAUUUAGCCAGGAAUCCAUUGAUAUAGCAAAGGCAGGCUGCAGGCGUAACUAACAGAGAGAAAUUUAUCUCAAUGAGAUGUUGCAGUUGGUUCCUAUCAUCCCACACAUAUGCUUUGUGUUACGCUUAAUUUUUGUAAAUGGUGUUUUAUGGAAGAGAAUGGGUUUCAUAAGCCUCAUAGCUAAAAAAAAAAACAAAGGGCACGGUACAUUGAGAAAUAAUUGCUGAUGAAAAUCUCGUAUUUUUUACAUUAUGAAUUCUUGUAUUCCUUUGAAGUUCAGUAGGAUGGAUUGUGAUGUUACAAGGAAUAGGAUACUUUAUAAGGGAAUGCCACUAUUCUGUUCUUUUAUCUAUGGCUUUAUGGUAUUGCUGCCAAAUAAUGUCAGUGGCCAUGCAGAGUGCUUGGCAUCUUACGCCCUAUAUCUUAAGUGCGGUCUUGACAAGAUGAAUCAUUAAUUUGUGGGGGGUAAUUUGUGAAUAUCUUUAUUUCUGUGACUCCAGUCACGAAUGUAGGUGGCUAGUACAGCAUCUGAACUUAAACACAGAGCAGGUCAGCUUUUCAGGUAGGUAACUGGACGUUCCCUGACAUGAACAGAUACCCCAGCUCAGAAUGUAAUUCAAUGGAGACAUCCAGACUGUAUCAUAGAUGGGAGUCUGCAAAGACAGCAGAGACACAGGCAAUGCCUCUUGCACGUCCAUGAAAUGCCCCAUAGACUUUUCAGCAUUAUAAAUAAUAACGAUUGCAUAUACCUUCACAAAGAACCCUAAUAAAAAUGGAGCAUUGCUGGAAAUGCUAUCACAGGAUUCGUAUGUGGGAGUAGUGAUAAAACAAGUAUGAUAUCACUGUCAGCCGCUUGGAAAGCUGCGAUUUUAGAACCGUUCCACAGCCUAGUUGUAGUAUUACAACAGGAAACAAUGAGCAUAUGGGAAACAAAACCGAUGAUAUAUAGUUUGAGAAUGUAUGAAAGAGAGGAGAUGGUUUCGAUGAAGUAGAGAGCUCCCUGUGGAAGACAUUUAUCUUAACUAAUUAGCCAUUUGGGGAGGAAACAAAUCCCUAGCUUGAAGAAAGCUAAGCAUGUUUUUAUAUUCCAACAGCUUCUAAAGUUUUAAAAAAGACAAUUAAGACUUUAAAUUGAAAGGACUCAUAUCCAACCACAGUGUCCCUCUUGGGAUUUAUGGAUGCUGACAGGCUAGUUAAUCGCUAUUACUUUCUGAAAUGUACUGCAAAGCAAUAAAUGAUUCAUAUUUUCUACUAUUACACCUCCUCAGCACAAGAAGAGAGGAAACAUUUAGACAAAAGUGAUCCAACCUGCUACUGUCUUGCUACUGUCUUACUACUUUUAGACAUUUUCUUCUACAUAAAAUGAAUGUCAAAUGCACAUACACAGCUCUGUACAUUUGCUAGAUUCUCAGAGACCAUGACGUGUUGGCAUGGGUAUUUGCCAUUUCAGGGGAUCCUACUUUCAUUGUUCAGGCUAUUUUUCCUCCAGAAUGAGACAGAACUCUGAGGACAGAGAGUCUAUUAAAAAUGUUAAUAUCUGUGGAAAAGAUUUAGUGAUCUCAGGCUAGCCAGUCAAUAAUUACUCAGCUCAUCUAAUCUACCUCGGAAUAAUGGAGCACUGCUUUCUCCAGCUCGUCGUGAAAUAUUCUUGUAUUACAUACUUUAGUAAAAAUUAAUGUCAGAAGGUGCCAGCCCCCACAACUCAUAGUGCAAGUUGUCUGGAACUGCUUAUUUUAAAGAGUUUGUCUUUAGUAGAUUAUGCUAAAUUCCUUGGUUAGUAUUUGAAUAGAAAGCAUUUAAAUGUAACUAUUACACAAACACUGGUUUGUUUAAAACAUUCAAAAUAUU